AACCCCCAAUCUUUUUAAGGUUGA
This 24-nucleotide ribosomal RNA is filed under the name Dwayaangam colodena. RNAcentral's name for it is "partial 28S ribosomal RNA". The record is from RNAcentral. Lineage: Eukaryota; Fungi; Ascomycota.